UCCAAGAAGCCCUUUAAAGAGUUUUUAGCAU
RNAcentral lists this non-coding RNA (31 nucleotides) under Rattus norvegicus (Norway rat). Lineage: Eukaryota; Metazoa; Chordata; Mammalia; Rodentia; Muridae. The record is from RNAcentral.